RNAcentral lists this ribosomal RNA (483 nucleotides) under uncultured bacterium. Its description in RNAcentral is "partial 16S ribosomal RNA". It matches the Rfam family "Bacterial small subunit ribosomal RNA", at positions 28 to 523 of the family's 1533-position model. The record is from RNAcentral.
GACGAACGCUGGCGGCGUGCUUAACACAUGCAAGUCGAACGAUGAAGCUGGAGCUUGCUCCGGUGGAUUAGUGGCGAACGGGUGAGUAACACGUGAGCAAUCUGCCCUUGGCUCUGGAAUAACUGCGGGAAACUGUAGCUAAUACCGGAUAUGAGGCUUGGAGGCAUCUCCAGGUCUGGAAAGAAUUUCGGUCAAGGAUGAGCUCGCGGCCUAUCAGCUAGUUGGUGAGGUAAUGGCUCACCAAGGCGACGACGGGUAGCCGGCCUGAGAGGGUGACCGGCCACACUGGGACUGAGACACGGCCCAGACUCCUACGGGAGGCAGCAGUGGGGAAUAUUGCACAAUGGGCGAAAGCCUGAUGCAGCAACGCCGCGUGAGGGAUGAAGGCCUUCGGGUUGUAAACCUCUUUUAGCAGGGAAGAAGCGAAAGUGACGGUACCUGCAGAAAAAGCACCGGCUAACUACGUGCCAGCAGCCGCGGUAA